Molecule: ribosomal RNA, 253 nt
Filed under: uncultured bacterium
Lineage: Bacteria
Description: partial 16S ribosomal RNA
Rfam family: Bacterial small subunit ribosomal RNA
Source: RNAcentral
UACGUAGGCAGCAAGCGUUGUUCGGAAUUACUGGGCGUAAAGCGCGCGUAGGCGGUGAUCUUUGUCAGAGGUGAAAUCCCGAGGCUCAACUUCGGAAUUGCCUUUGAAACGGGAUCGCUUGAGUCCGAGAGAGGAUGGCGGAAUUCCUAGUGUAGAGGUGAAAUUCGUAGAUAUUAGGAAGAACACCGGUGGCGAAGGCGGCCAUCUGGCUCGGUACUGACGCUCAGGCGCGAAAGCGUGGGGAGCAAACAGG